RNAcentral lists this ribosomal RNA (253 nucleotides) under uncultured prokaryote. RNAcentral describes it as "partial 16S ribosomal RNA". It matches the Rfam family "Bacterial small subunit ribosomal RNA", at positions 525 to 777 of the family's 1533-position model. The record is from RNAcentral.
ACGGAGGGGGCUAGCGUUGUUCGGAAUUACUGGGCGUAAAGCGCACGUAGGCGGCUUUGUAAGUUAGAGGUGAAAGCCCGGAGCUCAACUCCGGAACUGCCUUUAAGACUGCAUCGCUUGAACGUCGGAGAGGUAAGUGGAAUUCCGAGUGUAGAGGUGAAAUUCGUAGAUAUUCGGAAGAACACCAGUGGCGAAAGCGGCUUCCUGGUCCAGCACCGACGUUCAGGCACGAAAGUGUGGGGAGCAAACAGGA